This 504-nucleotide ribosomal RNA is filed under the name uncultured bacterium. RNAcentral's name for it is "bacterial SSU rRNA". It matches the Rfam family "Bacterial small subunit ribosomal RNA", at positions 29 to 513 of the family's 1533-position model. The record is from RNAcentral.
AACGAACGUUGGCGGCGUGGAUGAGGCAUGCAAGUCGAACGCGAAAGCCGCAAGGUGAGUAGAGUGGCGGACGGGCGAGUAACACGUAAUCAAGCUACCUGCGAGACGGGGAUAACCUCGGGAAACCGAGGCUAAGACCCGAUGGCCUUCCGGGACCGCAUGGUUCUGGAAGUAAAUGGGCGGGAUCCUCCGGGAUCGCCUGCUCGCAGAGGUGAUUGCGGCCCAUCAGCUAGUUGGUAGGGUAACGGCCUACCAAGGCAACGACGGGUAGCCGGCCUUAGAGGGUGGUCGGCCGCACUGGGACUGAGACACUGCCCAGACUCCUACGGGAGGCUGCAGUCGAGAAUCUUCCGCAAUGGGCGAAAGCCUGACGGAGCGACGCCGCGUGGAGGACGAAGGCCUUCGGUUGUAAACUCCUGUCACGAGUUAAGAAGGUGCUAUCGCGAACAGCGGUAGUAUUUGACGUAAGCUCGAGAGGAAGCACUGGCUAACUCUGUGCCAGCA